GGGCCUCUAGCUCAUGCUGGUUAGAGCAGCGGACUCAUAAUCCGUUGGUACCCGGUUCGACUCCGGGGAGGCCCACCA
Molecule: transfer RNA, 78 nt
Filed under: Affinundibacterium nitidum
Lineage: Bacteria; Pseudomonadati; Pseudomonadota; Betaproteobacteria; Burkholderiales; Oxalobacteraceae
Also listed under: 3 other names
Description: tRNA-Ile
Rfam family: tRNA
About the family: Transfer RNA (tRNA) molecules are approximately 80 nucleotides in length.
Source: RNAcentral